UGCUAUGGCGGGCUUCAUGGGCAGUCUUCGGACUGGUCGUUGUUCUUGCGGUACUGCGACCCCAUGUUGCCCGCCUCCCUA
Molecule: non-coding RNA, 81 nt
Filed under: Candidatus Kentrum sp. G
Lineage: Bacteria; Pseudomonadati; Pseudomonadota; Gammaproteobacteria
Source: RNAcentral